UCCAGACUCCUACGGGAGGCAGCAGUGGGGAAUAUUGGGCAAUGGGCGCAAGCCUGACCCAGCAACGCCGCGUGAAGGAAGAAGGCUUUCGGGUUGUAAACUUCUUUUAAGGGGGAAGAGUAGAAGACGGUACCUCUUGAAUAAGCCACGGCUAACUACGUGCCAGCAGCCGCGGUAAUACGUAGGUGGCAAGCGUUGUCCGGAUUUACUGGGUGUAAAGGGCGUGUAGCCGGGCCGGCAAGUCAGAUGUGAAAUCCCAAGGCUCAACCUUGGAACUGCAUUUGAAACUGUGUGGCUGGAGUGUCGGAGAGGCAGGCGGAAUUCCUAGUGUAGCGGUGAAAUGCGUAGAUAUUAGGAGGAACACCAGUGGCGAAGGCGGCCUGCUGGGCGAUGACUGACGUUGAGGCUCGAAAGCGUGGGGAGCAAACAGGAUUAGAUACCCCUGUAU
This 448-nucleotide ribosomal RNA is filed under the name uncultured bacterium. Its description in RNAcentral is "bacterial SSU rRNA". It matches the Rfam family "Bacterial small subunit ribosomal RNA", at positions 330 to 793 of the family's 1533-position model. The record is from RNAcentral.